This 580-nucleotide ribosomal RNA is filed under the name uncultured bacterium. Its description in RNAcentral is "bacterial SSU rRNA". It matches the Rfam family "Bacterial small subunit ribosomal RNA", at positions 338 to 917 of the family's 1533-position model. The record is from RNAcentral.
CCUACGGGAGGCAGCAGUAAGGAAUAUUGGUCAAUGGACGCAAGUCUGAACCAGCCAUGCCGCGUGAAGGAUUAAGGUCCUCUGGAUUGUAAACUUCUUUUAUCUGGGACGAAAAAAGGCGAUUCUUCGUCACUUGACGGUACCAGAUGAAUAAGCACCGGCUAACUCCGUGCCAGCAGCCGCGGUAAUACGGAGGGUGCAAGCGUUAUCCGGAUUCACUGGGUUUAAAGGGUGCGUAGGCGGGCAGGUAAGUCAGUGGUGAAAUCCUAGAGCUUAACUCUAGAACUGCCAUUGAUACUAUCUGUCUUGAAUAUUGUGGAGGUAAGCGGAAUAUGUCAUGUAGCGGUGAAAUGCUUAGAUAUGACAUAGAACACCUAUUGCGAAGGCAGCUUACUACGCAUAUAUUGACGCUGAGGCACGAAAGCGUGGGGAUCAAACAGGAUUAGAUACCCUGGUAGUCCACGCCCUAAACGAUGAUUACUCGACAUUUGUGAUACACUAUAAGUGUCUGAGCGAAAGCAUUAAGUAAUCCACCUGGGAAGUACGACCGCAAGGUUGAAACGUCAAAGGAAUUAGACGG